GGGGCUGAUUCUGGAUUCGACGGGAUUCGCGAAACCCAAGGUGCAUGCCGAGGGGCGGUUGGCCUCGUAAAAAGCCGCAAAAAAAUAGUCGCAAACGACGAAAACUACGCUUUAGCAGCUUAAUAACCUGCUCUGAGCCCUCUCUCCCUAGCUUCCGCUCUUAAGACGGGGAUCAAAG
RNAcentral lists this transfer-messenger RNA (178 nucleotides) under Citrobacter freundii. RNAcentral's name for it is "partial transfer-messenger RNA". It matches the Rfam family "transfer-messenger RNA", at positions 1 to 182 of the family's 374-position model. From Rfam's summary of the family: Bacterial tmRNA, also known as 10Sa RNA or SsrA, is named for its dual tRNA and mRNA-like properties. Its role is to liberate the mRNA from a stalled ribosome. To accomplish this part of the tmRNA is used as a reading frame that ends in a translation stop signal. The record is from RNAcentral. RNAcentral also lists the same sequence under 1 other name. Lineage: Bacteria; Pseudomonadati; Pseudomonadota; Gammaproteobacteria; Enterobacterales; Enterobacteriaceae.